GCCUGUGUAGCUCAGUUGGUAGAGCAAUGGUAUCGUAAACCAUAGGUCGUCGGUUCGACUCCGACCGCAGGCU
This 73-nucleotide transfer RNA is filed under the name Minisyncoccota bacterium. Its description in RNAcentral is "tRNA-Thr". It matches the Rfam family "tRNA". From Rfam's summary of the family: Transfer RNA (tRNA) molecules are approximately 80 nucleotides in length. Their secondary structure includes four short double-helical elements and three loops (D, anti-codon, and T loops). Further hydrogen bonds mediate the characteristic L-shaped molecular structure. tRNAs have two regions of fundamental functional importance: the anti-codon, which is responsible for specific mRNA codon recognition, and the 3' end, to which the tRNAs corresponding amino acid is attached (by aminoacyl-tRNA synthetases). tRNAs cope with the degeneracy of the genetic code in two manners: having more than one tRNA (with a specific anti-codon) for a particular amino acid; and 'wobble' base-pairing, i.e. permitting non-standard base-pairing at the 3rd anti-codon position. Lineage: Bacteria; Bacillati; Minisyncoccota. The record is from RNAcentral.